UCAAUCUCUCUCUGCUGGAAGUUGAGGUUAACCUCACGAGAGUUUAGGUCAUCGACCUCGCCGACUCCACAGCCUCCUCAUCUCUCUUUGGCCUCUCUUUGCAGGAGAUCAAGAUAAACAAGAUGGUUGUAGGCAGAGUUUUUGUUCCUAACAAGACGUUGGUCUCCUCUCCCAAGUUUCCAACAGGUUGUUUUCCUCUCCCAAGUUCCCAACAAACAAGAAGGCGUGCUCUCCUCUCCCAGGUCAAAAUGUGUGCUCUCUCUGAUCCUCUCCACUCCACGCCACACCAUCUCUCUCAUAUUACAAAGUACUUGGAAUUUCAAGCCAUGAAAUGAUUGCAAGAAGAAAUAAAGCAAAUCAGAAGGUGAAUAAAGGGCAACGGAGUUGGUCAUCUACAGACGGUGGCAGGCGAUGGCGGCCAACGGUGGUGGUGGCAGGUGGCCAGCGGCGGGAGUCCGACGGUGGUGGUCGGCGACGGGCGAUGACGGCCAACGGUGGUGGUGGCAGGUGGCCGGCAGCGGAAGUCCGGCGGUGGUGGCCGGCGGAGGGAUUCCGGCAGUGGUGGCCGGCGGC
Long non-coding RNA from Prunus persica (peach), 573 nucleotides. RefSeq lists it as uncharacterized. Lineage: Eukaryota; Viridiplantae; Streptophyta; Magnoliopsida; Rosales; Rosaceae. The transcript has 3 exons. The record is from RefSeq and is a predicted model, not a curated record.